GAAUUUUGAAAAAUACCUUUCAAUAGUCGACAUAUCCAACUGCAGUGGAAUUUGCUCCAAAGUUGACUAAACUUUAGGCAACCAUGAAGACUCACCUAAAAAGGACUCAACAAUGUUAUAAGCUUCUGGCAGAUGAAAUGAAGAAGGAACAUCUUUUAUUCUAAGUUGCUGAAAAAGUAUGGCUUCUUUGGGUCAAUAUAAAAACCAAAAAACCAUGUAAUAAGUUAGACUAUCAAAGACUGGAAUCAUUUGUGAUUGAAAAAUAAAUUAAUUCCAUAACUUAUAACUUGAAAUUACCUUCAUUUAUGAAGAUUCAUCCAGUCUUUCAUGUUUUACUUUUGAAAAGGUAUAAAGAAUCGAACAUACCAGGUUGAAGA
RNAcentral lists this long non-coding RNA (377 nucleotides) under Physcomitrium patens. Its description in RNAcentral is "long non-coding RNA (PPAT_LNC000451)". Lineage: Eukaryota; Viridiplantae; Streptophyta; Bryopsida; Funariales; Funariaceae. The record is from RNAcentral.